Molecule: ribosomal RNA, 478 nt
Filed under: uncultured bacterium
Lineage: Bacteria
Description: partial 16S ribosomal RNA
Rfam family: Bacterial small subunit ribosomal RNA
Source: RNAcentral
GACGAACGCUGGCGGCAUGCCUAAUACAUGCAAGUUGAACGAUGAUAUUCUCUGCUUGCAGCGAGUUGAAGAGUAGCGAACGGGUGAGUAACACGUGGGGCACCUGCUCAUGAGAGGGGGAUAACAUUCGGACACGGAUGCUAAUACCGUAUAAUGCUUUGGACCGCCUGGUCCAGAGACAAAAGACGGCUUUUGUUGUCACUUGUGGGUGGCCCCGCGCCGUAUUAGCUAGUUGGUGGGGUAAUGGCUUACCAAGGAUGUGAUGGGUAGCCGGCAUGAGAGGGUGACCGGCCACAUUGGGACUGAGGGACGGCGCAGAAUGAUACGGGAGGCAGCAGUGGGGAAUAUUGGACAAUGGGCGGAAGCAUGAUGCAGCAACGCCGAGUGCGGAAUGAUGGCAUUUGGGUUAUAAACAGAUUUCGCCUGUGACGAAGCGUGAGUGACGGUAAUGGGUAAAGAAGCCCCGGCUAACUACGUG